UCAAACAAUGUGGUUGUGACAUCUGUCACCCCACUGGUCACCAGAGCUGAUUUAGGAUGAUCUGGCUGACUAGGCAAGUGUCGCCCUCCCUCCCUGCUCCAUUUGCUUCUCAACUGAAGGAACACACAGUCCUGUAAGGGGGUGACUUUCCCCAAAUAGAGGAGGAUUUGCUGGCCCAGAGUAUAUAGUAGCUGCACUCCCCUGGUAGAACCUCCAAACAGCUCUCAAGCAUGCACAGUGCUCUUUCAGAGACCUCUUGAGUCCGAUUCCCAGCACCCACAUGGUGGCUCACCACCAUCUAUCCUGGGAUCUGAU
Molecule: small nuclear RNA, 315 nt
Filed under: Mus pahari (shrew mouse)
Lineage: Eukaryota; Metazoa; Chordata; Mammalia; Rodentia; Muridae
Description: sRNA (MGP_PahariEiJ_G0008338.1)
Rfam family: 7SK RNA
About the family: 7SK was discovered as an abundant small nuclear RNA in the mid-70s but a possible function has only recently been suggested. Two independent studies have found that 7SK RNA binds the CDK9/cyclin T complex (known as elongation factor P-TEFb).
Source: RNAcentral